GGCUGGCGUCAGCUCGUGUCGUGAGAUGUUGGGUUAAGUCCCGCAACGAGCGCAACCCACGUCUUUAGUUGCCAGCAUUAAGUUGGGCACUCUAGAGAGACCGCCGGUGAUAAACCGGAGGAAGGUGUGGAUGACGUCAAGUCAUCAUGCCCCUUACAUCCUGGGCUACACACGUACUACAAUGCUACGGACAAAGGGCCGCAAACUCGCGAGAGCUAGCAAAUCCCAUAAACCGUGGCUCAGUUCAGAUCGUAGGCUGCAACUCGCCUACGUGAAGGAGGAAUCGCUAGUAAUCGCAGGUCAGCAUACUGCGGUGAAUACGUUCCCGGGCCUUGUACACACCGCCCGUCACACCAUGGAAGUUGGCCACGCCCGAAGUCGUUACUCCAACCUGCAAGGGAGGAGGAUGCCGAAGGUGGGGCUGAUGACUGGGGUGAAGUCGUAACAAGGUAGCCGUACCGGAAGGUGCGGCUGGAUCACCUCCUAA
This 487-nucleotide ribosomal RNA is filed under the name uncultured cyanobacterium. Its description in RNAcentral is "bacterial SSU rRNA". It matches the Rfam family "Bacterial small subunit ribosomal RNA", at positions 1047 to 1533 of the family's 1533-position model. Lineage: Bacteria; Bacillati; Cyanobacteriota. The record is from RNAcentral.